CACCACUCGUCGCUACUACUAAUUGAAUGGUCUACUGAAGUCGUUGGAUUAGUGUCGUUGUAGUGGCCUUGUCGCUCGACUGAUUCUGAGAUGACCUAAUUUGAUUAGUUAGAGGUAGUAAAAGUCGUAACAAGGUUUCUGUAGGUGAACCUGUGGAAG
Non-coding RNA from Schistosoma haematobium, 159 nucleotides. Lineage: Eukaryota; Metazoa; Platyhelminthes; Trematoda; Strigeidida; Schistosomatidae. The record is from Rfam.